AUUCUGCCCAUGCGGGAAAGGAUGAGAAGCUUCGACCAAGGUGCGACUCGAGCGCCAGCGAGAGAGCGUUGCCGCAGGCAACGACCCGAAGGGCGAAGGGCGAAGCGCGCAGCGCUGAGUAAUCCUUCCCCCACCACCA
RNAcentral lists this small RNA (139 nucleotides) under Escherichia coli. Its description in RNAcentral is "RtT sRNA". It matches the Rfam family "RtT RNA". Rfam says of the family: This family represents a bacterial cis-regulatory element known as RtT RNA. The exact function of RtT is unknown although it is thought that it may be involved in changing the cellular response in relation to amino acid starvation. Lineage: Bacteria; Pseudomonadati; Pseudomonadota; Gammaproteobacteria; Enterobacterales; Enterobacteriaceae. The record is from RNAcentral. RNAcentral also lists the same sequence under 1 other name.